RNAcentral lists this ribosomal RNA (491 nucleotides) under uncultured bacterium. RNAcentral describes it as "partial 16S ribosomal RNA". It matches the Rfam family "Bacterial small subunit ribosomal RNA", at positions 28 to 507 of the family's 1533-position model. The record is from RNAcentral.
GAUGAACGCUGGCUACAGGCUUAACACAUGCAAGUCGAGGGGAAACGACGGGGAAGCUUGCUUCCCCGGGCGUCGACCGGCGCACGGGUGAGUAACGCGUAUCCAACCUGCCUCUGACUGAGGGAUAACCCGUCGAAAGUCGGCCUAAUACCUCAUGGCAUCGUCUGCGGGCAUCCAACGACGAUUAAAGAUUUCAUCGGUCAGGGAUGGGGAUGCGUCUGAUUAGCUUGUUGGCGGGGUAACGGCCCACCAAGGCUACGAUCAGUAGGGGUUCUGAGAGGAAGGUCCCUCACAUUGGAACUGAGACACGGUCCAAACUCCUACGGGAGGCAGCAGUGAGGAAUAUUGGUCAAUGGGCGGGAGCCUGAACCAGCCAAGUAGCGUGCAGGAUGACGGCCCUAUGGGUUGUAAACUGCUUUUAUGCGGGGAUAAAGUGGGGGACGUGUCCUUCAUUGCAGGUACCGCAUGAAUAAGGACCGGCUAAUUCCGUG